Molecule: ribosomal RNA, 465 nt
Filed under: uncultured bacterium
Lineage: Bacteria
Description: partial 16S ribosomal RNA
Rfam family: Bacterial small subunit ribosomal RNA
Source: RNAcentral
GACGAACGCUGGCGGCGUGCUUAACACAUGCAAGUCGAACGGAAAGGCCCCUUCGGGGGUACUCGAGUGGCGAACGGGUGAGUAACACGUGAGUAACCUGCCCUUGACUUCGGGAUAACUUCAGGAAACUGGGGCUAAUACCGGAUAGGAAUCCUUGCUGCAUGGUGGGGGUUGGAAAGCUUCGGCGGUUUUGGAUGGACUCGCGGCUUAUCAGCUUGUUGGUGGGGUAGUGGCUUACCAAGGCUUUGACGGGUAGCCGGCCUGAGAGGGCGACCGGCCACAUUGGGACUGAGAUACGGCCCAGACUCCUACGGGAGGCAGCAGUGGGGAAUAUUGCACAAUGGGCGGAAGCCUGAUGCAGCAACGCCGCGUGCGGGAUGACGGCCUUCGGGUUGUAAACCGCUUUCAGCAGGGGCGAAGCUUGUGGUGACGGUACCUGCAGAAGAGGCACCGGCUAACUACGUG